This 490-nucleotide long non-coding RNA is filed under the name Ictidomys tridecemlineatus (thirteen-lined ground squirrel). RNAcentral describes it as "lncRNA (ENSSTOG00000034877.1)". Lineage: Eukaryota; Metazoa; Chordata; Mammalia; Rodentia; Sciuridae. The record is from RNAcentral.
UUUUAGACAUAAAAGUUCAGCGAUAUAGACAUGUCUAGUAAAGAAGCAGAAUGGAUAAAAUAUUUUACUUUACAUUCAUAAAUCCUACAGUCCUUAAACUUCUCUGAAUUUAACCUGUUCUUGGGAUGUGUUGAAAAGCCAUUGAGAAGUGAAAUUGCAUUGUUUAUCUUCAUCUUUCUUAGAUGCCAGGUCCUUGAAAGGAAAAAUUCUGCAAUCCCAGCAGAGCUGAAUGAAAAGCAAGAGCUUGUUUAUAAUAACAAGAAGCUAGAGCUGCAAGUGGAAAGCAUGCGAUCGGAAAUAAAAAUGGAGCAAGCUAAAACAGAGGAUGGAAAAGUUCAUCAAUUUUGGAGGGGGUUAUUAUGUCUCUAUAUCAGUAUUAUCUUUUAAAAAUAUUGUUGUUUUAAAUCAGGAAAUUGGGCUAGGGCCGUAGCUCAGUGAUAGAGCACUUGCCUGGCAUGUGUGAGGCAUUGGGUUUCAUUCUCAGCACCAC